Non-coding RNA from Vicugna pacos (alpaca), 72 nucleotides. The record is from the annotation of a RefSeq genome assembly. Lineage: Eukaryota; Metazoa; Chordata; Mammalia; Artiodactyla; Camelidae.
AAGGGUAUAGCUCAGUGGUAGAGCUCAUACCUAAUAUGCAAGAGGUCCUGGGUUCAAUCCCCGGUACCUUCA